RNAcentral lists this transfer-messenger RNA (351 nucleotides) under Oscillospiraceae bacterium. It matches the Rfam family "transfer-messenger RNA". From Rfam's summary of the family: Bacterial tmRNA, also known as 10Sa RNA or SsrA, is named for its dual tRNA and mRNA-like properties. Lineage: Bacteria; Bacillati; Bacillota; Clostridia; Eubacteriales; Oscillospiraceae. The record is from RNAcentral.
GGGGCCGUAAAGGUUUCGACGGGGAUCCUGAAGCACGGUAAGCGAGUAGUGAGGGCGAAAUCACUUUAAUCGUCGCAACUUUAAAUUUAAACGCAGACGAAGAUCUCGUUUUAGCAGCUGCCUAAGGCGCUGCCGUCGGCUCUAGCAGUACCGCGGGCUUGAGUUCGGCGUCGACCAGCGGUGAACGACCUUUGCAAAUAGCCUUAUAGCUUUGGUUGUAUUAAAGGCUACCGGACGUGAGAGCCUGUUUGUCGGCGAUCACGCGAGGGAAUUUUAAAAGACAGACUGCACUCGGAGAAAACUUUGUGGACGGGUUUUCGGACAGGGGUUCAAUUCUCCUCGGCUCCACCA